AUUGAACGCUGGCGGCAGGCUUAACACAUGCAAGUCGAGCGGAGAUGAGGUGCUUGCACCUUAUCUUAGCGGCGGACGGGUGAGUAAUGCUUAGGAAUCUGCCUAUUAGUGGGGGACAACGUUCCGAAAGGAAUGCUAAUACCGCAUACGUCCUACGGGAGAAAGCAGGGGAUCUUCGGACCUUGCGCUAAUAGAUGAGCCUAAGUCGGAUUAGCUAGUUGGUGGGGUAAAGGCCUACCAAGGCGACGAUCUGUAGCGGGUCUGAGAGGAUGAUCCGCCACACUGGGACUGAGGCACGGCCCAGACUCCUACGGGAGGCAGCAGUGGGGAAUAUUGGACAAUGGGGGGAACCCUGAUCCAGCCAUGCCGCGUGUGUGAAGAAGGCCUUAUGGUUGUAAAGCACUUUAAGCGAGGAGGAGGCUACUGAGACUAAUACUCUUGGAUAGUGGACGUUACUCGCAGAAUAAGCACCGGCUAACUCUGUGCCAGCAGCCGCAGUAA
This 501-nucleotide ribosomal RNA is filed under the name uncultured bacterium. RNAcentral's name for it is "partial 16S ribosomal RNA". It matches the Rfam family "Bacterial small subunit ribosomal RNA", at positions 30 to 523 of the family's 1533-position model. The record is from RNAcentral.